UCCUAGCUCUUUAUCUGGAAUUCUUGUGCCUUAUGUCCCAUCUUGUGGAUUAAGGUCAGCUGACCCAGUGAGCAGAACUAACUGUCAUCACAAGCUGCUGAUCUAGCAGCAUGAUGCUCAUUAUUAUUUUAUGGGUUACAGAUGAGUGUUGAUGCUCUGUGUUUGUAUUUUUGCAGUGAGCCUUACAAUCUCACUUCUUUCCACCCACAGUUUCUUCUUAAAACACGUAUUACAUUUACUGUUUUGACGCAUUUUAACGAGCUUCCUCCGCGCCGUGAUUUCAUUGUAGGAUACAAACUUUACAGCACUCUCACGGAGGAAAGGUUCGGCAGAUAUGUUUGUUUACAUUUUAGCCCCUGCGCGUCUACAGUGUUAGGGAAAGGAAGGGAGGGGCUGACGCGAUGCUGCUGUCAGGGUAUCUCUAGGCUCCACAGUAGCAGCGACGGACGGCUGGUUUGACCGGCUCUGAGAGGCGUUAAUCAGAAUUUGCAGAUAGCUUUUUUUCCUUCUACCAAUCGCAUAGUGAUGUUUGGACUUAAAAGCAACUCAUUAAAUUCAUAGUUUUUUGUUAAAGUAAUGCAUUACCAUGAAUAGUAAUGUGUUUACCAACAUUUGUUAUGUAUAUUACUGAUUGCAAAAACACCCCUAGGUCUUUUGUCUUGUCUUUUUACUGAAUAUUUUUCUUUUAUAUAUUUCUGCUUGGUUCCCUGCAGUUUCAAGGAAGAGAGAAGAGCCGGAUGAGAAACCUCUGCUCUUACAUUUCCACAACCAUCAAAUGAAAGACGGAGGUGUACCAACCAGCAGCUUGGCUGGGCAGAUGUCAGCAAAAGUUGAUGGAGGAGCAGAAACUAUCAAGAACCUAGAUCUGGACCCUAAUGAAAAGACAUCCGAUUCUUCAGAGAUUGAAGUUAGUGGAGAAGAUGAAGAUGAUUUGAAUCUAGACUCUGAGCGUUCAGACUCUGGGCCUGAAACUGGAAACGGAGACCAUGGCUGUAAUGAGAACAAGUCUUUGGAGUCAGAUAUUAAGACUGUCAACAAAUCAUUUAGCUGCCCUGUUUGUGAUAUACGGUUCCUCCACAAGUGGUCUCUUCAGGAACAUGUGAGAGUGACAAGUCAUUCAGCAGUAAAGUCUUCAGAGUGUUCGGUUAAUACAAAAUGUGUGAAAGAGAAGCAACAUGGAGGCUCAUGUAGAAAAGUCCAGAAACAACCGAAAUCAUUUAGUUGUGAUGACUGUGGAAAAAGAUUUAGCCUAAAGUCCAAUUUAACCCGUCAUAUGAGAGUCCACACUGGGCAGAAGCCUUUUGCCUGUGAGCUCUGUGGAUACAGAUGUAGCCAUAAGUCAAAUUUAAAUGAUCACAUAAAAGUCCACACAGGAGAGAAGCCUUUUGCCUGUGAGCUCUGUGGAUACAGAUGUACCCAAAAGGCAAAUGUAACCAAACACAUGAGAGUCCACACAGGAGAGAAGCCUUUUGCCUGUGAGCUCUGUGGAUACAGAUGUACCCAAAAGUCAAAUUUAAAUGAUCACAUGAAAGUCCACACAGGAGAGAAGCCUUUUGCCUGUGAGCUCUGUGAAUACAGAUAUACCCAUAAGGCAAGUUUAAACGCACACAUGAGAGUCCACACAGGAGAGAAGCCUUUUGCCUGUGAGCUCUGUGGAUACAGAUGUACCCAUAAGGCAAGUUUAAACACACACAUGAGAGUCCAUACAGGAGAUAAGCCUUUUGCCUGUGAGCUCUGUGGAUACAGAUGUACCCAAAAGUCAAAUUUAAAUGAUCACAUGAAAGUCCACAAAGGAGAGAAGCCUUUUGCCUGUGAGCUCUGUGGAUACAGAUGUACCCAAAAGGCAAAUUUAACCAAACACAUGAGAGUCCACACAGGAGAGAAGCCUUUUGCCUGUGAGCUUUGUGGAUACAGAUGUACCCAAAAGGCAAGUUUAAACAGACACAUGAGAGUCCACACAGGAGAGAAGCCUUUUGCCUGUGAGCUCUGUGGAUACAGAUAUACCCGUAAGGCAAGUUUAAACACACACAUGAGAGUCCACACAGGAGAGAAGCAUUUUGCCUGUGAGCUCCCGAGAUACAGAUGUACCCAAAAGGCAAAUUUAACCAUACCAAACCAUACCAUUUUAUUUAUAUAGCGCUUUCAACACGGCAUUACAACCAUACAAAGCGCUGCACAAAAAACAGGCAAGAAAACACAAGUUAAAAUAGUCAGGUAGAUGGAAAAUGUAAAAAGGAGCAAAAGAAAUAUAAACAACAGACUAUUAACAGUAAAAGCAAAUAAAAUCAGAAUAUACAAACACAAAAUUAAAAUUGAAUUGACUAGGUGGGACAAUGGAUGAGCUAAGGAGUUAUGGAAUUAAGGAUCGAAUGCGUAAGUGAAGUAGAGGGUCUUCAGACAAGAUUUAAAGACGGCGAUAGAGGAAGCUUGCCUAACCUACAGUGGUAAUGAGUUCCAUAACUUUGGGGCACAGACUGAAAAAGCCCUCUCCCCACGAGUCUUCAAACGUGCCUUAGGGACAGUUAAGAGGAGUUGAUCUUCAGACCUAAGAGCAUGAGGAGGGUGGUAGUAAUGAAGGAGAUCACACAGAUAGGGAGGCGCUUGACCGUUCAAGGAUUUGAACGUGAGAAGUAAAAUUUUAUAAUUGAUCCUGAAUUUAACGGGCAACCAGUGAAGCGUUUUAAGAAUAGGUGAGAUGUGGUGUCUUCUUUCAGCUCCAGUCAAGAACCUUGCUGCAGAAUUCUGAACAAGCUGAUGCCUAGACAAAGCCGCCUCACUGAUACCGUACAAACAGGAGUUUUAAUAAUCCAACCGAGAAGUGAUGAAUGCGUGAAUCACAGAUUCUAGAAGACGGACACUUAGGAUGGACUUUAAUUUUGAAAUAUGUCUAAGAUGGUAAAAGCAGGACCUGACCGUGCUAUUGACCUGAGCAUCCAUCUUCAGAGCAGAAUCUAUUCUUAUUCCAAGGUUGGAAACAACAGAAGUGACAUUAGGCGACAGAUAGUUGAGGUCUGGUUGCUGGGCUGCUCUAACACUAGUUGGACUAAAAACGAUUACCUCUGUUUUGGAGUCGUUCAGAAUUAGGAAGUUGUCAGCCAACCAUUGCUUGACUUCGUGAAGACAAUCAAACAGAGGUUUAGUGGAGUCUUUGGGUUUCAGUGAAAAAUAAAUUUGACAAUCAUCUGCAUAUAGAUGGUAAGACACUGCAUGCUGUUUGAAAACAGCUCCCAAGGGCAGAAUAUAAAUACAGAACAGUAACGGGCCGAGGAUGGAACCUUGAGGAACCCCCCAGGGAAGGGAGAGUGUUUCGGAUGAAUAAUCAUCCAGCAUGACCCUAAGGGACCUGUCAUGGAAGUAAGACCUAAACCAGUCCAGGGCCGAACCUGAGAUGCCAGCCCAAGUCCGUAGUGUAGAGAUCAAGAUGUUGUGAUCAACCGUAUCGAAGGCUGCAGAUAGAUCCAGGCUGUGUCCGAAUCCACGGGUAGGAUGCUUGUGAGUACAGGUCCUCGCCGGUCCAGCAAGACCGAGUCCUUGCUAGACCGCUAAAACCGGAAGUCAGCGGCUCUGAAUUCGGACAGUACUAGCCUCGUUUUUAUUCCCGUCCCCAGGUCCAGUUGCUUAGCUACCGUGACGGCGGCAAACAGGCUAACAAGCUAACAAGCUUGUCAGAGGUGAAAAUGGAUCCACAGCAGUAUUCCCUUUUAUUUUUGGUUUUUGAGGAGCUGCGACUGCUUAGUAAACGUCACCAGCCUUUGUAUUUAAGGCUGAGAAGCAGCCAUAUCCAGAACAGACCCCUGUACUGUAGGAUAAACAUGAGUGUGCCAGUCCUGGACCGGUUUUUUUAACCAGGGAGAUCCCAGGCCAGAUUUUCGUCUGAGCAGGGAGUCUUUUGUGGUGUUGCUAAAUCUCCUGAACCAAGAUCGGCGACAUGGUUGGGGUGCCACAAUCGAGACCCUGGUGUUUCUGUUCUGGUUGGCAAGUGGAACAUCCUACAGGGUGGUCUCAGGAGUAUUU
Molecule: non-coding RNA, 4014 nt
Organism: Nothobranchius furzeri (turquoise killifish)
Lineage: Eukaryota; Metazoa; Chordata; Actinopteri; Cyprinodontiformes; Nothobranchiidae
Source: RefSeq, a predicted model, not a curated record